UACAGAGGUCCCGAGCGUUGUUCGGAUUCACUGGGCGUAAAGGGUGCGUAGGUGGCAUGGUAAGUUUGAUGUGAAAGCUCAGGGCUCAACCCUGAAAUGGCAUUGAAUACUACUGUGCUGGAGGGUUGGAGGGGGGACUGGAAUUCUUGGUGUAGCAGUGAAAUGCGUAGAUAUCAAGAGGAACACCAGUGGCGAAGGCGAGUCCCUGGACAACACCUGACACUGAGGCACGAAAGCUAGGGGAGCAAACGGG
RNAcentral lists this ribosomal RNA (253 nucleotides) under uncultured bacterium. RNAcentral's name for it is "partial 16S ribosomal RNA". It matches the Rfam family "Bacterial small subunit ribosomal RNA", at positions 524 to 776 of the family's 1533-position model. The record is from RNAcentral.